UUCUUGAAAUAGAAUUUUUCUCCAUAUGUCAUUAUAUAUUACAGGGCUGCACAAGGUACUGAAAAAGGGACAGUGCUUUGAGUGAAUGUGUUAUCCAUGUAUCUGCAAAUGAAGCAGAUCCCAGUUAUUACACUCGUAAACAGUGUGACAACUUCCGAGAAGGCUAAAUCAGAUGCUCCUUUCCAUCUGAUGUUUUCCAGGUUUUUGUGAAAAGUUUUCUUAAAAAUGGCACCAUUCAACUACAAAUACUAUGCUGGUGGAACUGUGACAUCAAUCAACUGCUCAGGACACUGCUAACUGCCAGAGAAUUUAUUUUUUUUUGUUUCAUUUGGGACAAACAUUUUACACCUGCAAAUUGGUACUUCAUGAAAUGCUUGAAGGAUGUUACAUGUAAAGGCUACUGAAAUUCCAAGUCAGAUGAAGUGCAAAAGGAUUGAUACAAAAGUUAUAAAAAUAUGAAGUUUUCUAUUCUAAGUGACGAGUGCGACUGAAGUUUUUAAGGAUGCCCCGUCUGCAGACAACUCGUUAAGGCAGUGAUAUAAGUAGCUCCAAAUGAUGCUUUAUUGUUUUGCUCUGAUUUAUAACCUGGAUAGAUCUCUGAUGCAGUAAUUUAGAGCCAUGUCUUUUCACUGUCUUAAAGUACUGAAAUAAAAAUAAUUUUGAUUAAAA
Saccostrea echinata is the source of this 669-nucleotide long non-coding RNA. RefSeq lists it as uncharacterized. The transcript is spliced from 2 exons. NCBI's taxonomy places the organism in Eukaryota, Metazoa, Mollusca, Bivalvia, Ostreida, Ostreidae. The record is from RefSeq and is a predicted model, not a curated record.